This 607-nucleotide long non-coding RNA is filed under the name Oryza sativa (Asian cultivated rice). Its description in RNAcentral is "long non-coding RNA (OSAT_LNC001651)". The record is from RNAcentral. Lineage: Eukaryota; Viridiplantae; Streptophyta; Magnoliopsida; Poales; Poaceae.
CCCUCCACCACCAUACAGAUCAGAAUAAAUACCUACUUUGAUCCUGAUAUCCUGCACUGGCAAAGAACACAUAUUGGUAACCUAUUAAACUUUGGAACCACACACCAUGGAAGAGAAAGAUAAUAUGCUUUUUAAUGCAUAUAUGCUUGAUAAGAAGUCAAUUUUGAACCAUCAAUUAAUUUUGCAACAAUAACUCCCUAGUAUGCACAUGAGCAUUCUCACAACUCCUACCUGUGGUAGUACAACUCCUAUCAGCCAUCUGCAAUUGAAUGAAGGUUAAUAAUAAGAUUUUUUUUCCCUGGAUUCAAAGAUAGAAUAUGGCAUUUAAAACUUUCUUGCACAAACUACAGUGAGGCUAAAAAAAGCUCAAACAGAAAUAUACACUGGAUUAGAACAGAAUAGGCUAGCUGGAGUGAACAUUUCCUUGUCCACAUGAGUUCGAAUCUCAACCACUGCAGUUGUCUCAUUGCUUCUACCUAAUAAAAUUAGAUUAUUCGUCUUUAUGUUCAGCAUUUAGCAGGUUGGAAACAGAAACUCUGCAAGAACAUCAUAUUAUAAUGAAUUAACUUUCAGGGAAAUAACAAAUUAAAUGUUAAUCAAGCUGAAC